CCAGUAAAGCAGAUGACAGAGGCAGGAAGGUCUCCUUGGGGCACCUCAGGGAGCCAGGGAUGCGGAGACAGGCGUCCAGGUCACCAGGGAAAUGACCAUAUGGCUACCCCUGUUAAUCUGGGACUGGAGAGCCAGAGGCUCAGGGCUCAUCUGCUUUAACUGAACAGCUGUGUUUCUACAGUGAAGAAAAGCUCCUCCAUUCAAGGAUCCCAGGAUGAAUUACCCCUCUGGACGCGAUCCAGAAUACCACACGGAGAUUGAAUCAAUGUGUCUCCUUAGUCUUCACUAGUCUGCGACGGGUUUUGAGUCUUUCCUUGUUCUCCAUGACCUUGACAAUCUGGAGUGUUGGCCAGGCAUCCUGCAGGACAUGCCCCAGUCUGGGUUUAUCUGACAUUCAGCUUGUGAUUGGACCGGGGACAUGGGGUUUGGGUGCUAUCGGGCUUCUCCAUAGAAAUCUACUGUUUGGGGGCACCCAGGUGGCGCAGGCAGUUAAGCGUCUGCCUUCGGCUCGGGUCCUGGGAUCGAGUGCCGCGUCUCUCCC
Zalophus californianus (California sea lion) is the source of this 541-nucleotide long non-coding RNA. RefSeq lists it as uncharacterized. The transcript has 3 exons. The record is from RefSeq and is a predicted model, not a curated record. Lineage: Eukaryota; Metazoa; Chordata; Mammalia; Carnivora; Otariidae.